This 253-nucleotide ribosomal RNA is filed under the name uncultured bacterium. Its description in RNAcentral is "partial 16S ribosomal RNA". It matches the Rfam family "Bacterial small subunit ribosomal RNA", at positions 524 to 776 of the family's 1533-position model. The record is from RNAcentral.
UACGUAGGUGGCAAGCGUUGUCCGGAUUUACUGGGCGUAAAGAGCGCGCAGGCGGUCGAAUAAGUCGAAUGUGAAAGCCCCCGGCUUAACUGGGGAGGGUCAUUCGAUACUGCUCGACUUGAAGGCAGGAGAGGGUAGUGGAAUUCCAGGUGUAGCGGUGAAAUGCGUAGAUAUCGGGAGGAACACCGGUGGCGAAGGCGGCAUCCUGGACCGGUAUUGACGCUGAGGCGCGAAAGCUAGGGGAGCAAACGGG